This is a non-coding RNA of Stegodyphus mimosarum, 163 nucleotides long. The record is from Rfam. Lineage: Eukaryota; Metazoa; Arthropoda; Arachnida; Araneae; Eresidae.
UUUCCCUCAGGAUAGCUGGCGCUCGAGAUUCAGUCUCAUCCGGUAAAGCGAAUGAUUAGAGGCCUUGGGGCCGAAACGACCUCAACCUAUUCUCAAACUUUAAAUGGGUGAGAAGUCUGGCUUGCAUGACUGAAGCCCGGCUAGCUCAGUUGGUAGAGCACCA